AACGAACGCUGGCGGCAUGCCUAACACAUGCAAGUCGAACGAACCCUUCGGGGUUAGUGGCGCACGGGUGCGUAACGCGUGGGAAUCUGCCCUUUGCUUCGGAAUAACUCAGGGAAACUUGUGCUAAUACCGGAUGAUGUCUUCGGACCAAAGAUUUAUCGGCAAGGGAUGAGCCCGCGUAGGAUUAGGUAGUUGGUGGGGUAAAGACCUACCAAGCCGACGAUCCUUAGCUGGUCUGAGAGGAUGAUCAGCCACACUGGGACUGAGACACGGCCCAGACUCCUACGGGAGGCAGCAGUGGGGAAUAUUGGACAAUGGGCGCAAGCCUGAUCCAGCAAUGCCGCGUGAGUGAUGAAGGCCCUCGGGUCGUAAAGCUCUUUUACCAGGGAUGAUAAUGACAGUACCUGGAGAAUAAGCUCCGGCUAACUCCGUG
RNAcentral lists this ribosomal RNA (433 nucleotides) under uncultured bacterium. RNAcentral describes it as "partial 16S ribosomal RNA". It matches the Rfam family "Bacterial small subunit ribosomal RNA", at positions 29 to 507 of the family's 1533-position model. The record is from RNAcentral.